AACGAACGCUGGCGGCAGGCCUAACACAUGCAAGUCGAACGCCCUAGCAAUAGGGAGUGGCAGACGGGUGAGAAACACGUGGGAACCUCCCCUAUAGUACGGAAUAGCUCAGGGAAACUUGAAGUAAUACCGUAUACGCCCGAGAGGGGAAAGAUUUAUCGCUAUAGGAUGGGCCCGCGUCGGAUUAGCUAGUUGGUGAGGUAAUGGCUCACCAAGGCGACGAUCCGUAGCUGGUUUGAGAGAACGACCAGCCACACUGGGACUGAGACACGGCCCAGACUCCUACGGGAGGCAGCAGUGGGGAAUAUUGGACAAUGGGCGCAAGCCUGAUCCAGCCAUGCCGCGUGAGUGAUGAAGGCCUUAGGGUUGUAAAGCUCUUUAGCAGGGAAGAUAAUGACUGUACCUGCAGAAUAAGCUCCGGCUAACUUCGUGCCAGCAGCCGCGGUAAU
Molecule: ribosomal RNA, 449 nt
Filed under: uncultured bacterium
Lineage: Bacteria
Description: bacterial SSU rRNA
Rfam family: Bacterial small subunit ribosomal RNA
Source: RNAcentral